This 25-nucleotide ribosomal RNA is filed under the name Pistacia lentiscus. Lineage: Eukaryota; Viridiplantae; Streptophyta; Magnoliopsida; Sapindales; Anacardiaceae. The record is from RNAcentral.
UGGGUGCGAUCAUACCAGCACUAAA